UGGGGAAUAUUGCACAAUGGACGGAAGUCUGAUGCAGCAACGCCGCGUGCGGGAUGACGGCCUUCGGGUUGUAAACCGCUUUUUCUCAUGACGAAGUUUUUUGACGGUAGUGGGGGAAGAAGCACCGGCUAACUACGUGCCAGCAGCCGCGGUGAUACGUAGGGUGCGAGCGUUGUCCGGAAUUAUUGGGCGUAAAGAGCUUGCAGGCGGUUUGUCGCGUCGAUAGUGCAAACUCAGUGCUUAACGCUGAGCCUGCUGUUGAUACGGGCAGACUAGAGGAAGGUAGGGGAGAAUGGAAUUCCCGGUGGAGCGGUGGAAUGCGCAGAUAUCGGGAGGAACACCGGUGGCGAAGGCGGUUCUCUGGGCCUUUCCUGACGCUGAGAAGCGAAAGCGUGGGGAGCGAACAGG
RNAcentral lists this ribosomal RNA (408 nucleotides) under Fusobacteriota bacterium. RNAcentral's name for it is "Fusobacteria bacterium partial 16S ribosomal RNA". It matches the Rfam family "Bacterial small subunit ribosomal RNA", at positions 355 to 776 of the family's 1533-position model. The record is from RNAcentral. Lineage: Bacteria; Fusobacteriati; Fusobacteriota.